Molecule: long non-coding RNA, 269 nt
Filed under: Phoenix dactylifera (date palm)
Lineage: Eukaryota; Viridiplantae; Streptophyta; Magnoliopsida; Arecales; Arecaceae
Description: long non-coding RNA (PDAC_LNC017474)
Source: RNAcentral
ACUCAUACCUAUUGCUGGCUAAGUAUGAAACCCAAUGGGUCACACACAAGAAAACUUAUUAAGGGUCUAAUUGGAUUAGAUCAUGUUUGCAAGAUAGACAUUCUAUCAGGUGUUGCAAACCCUUAGCUCUUGAUUCGAAUUGGAUUCGAAUCCAAUUCUUAAUUGAUCUAAUUUGAUUAGAUCAUGUUCUAAUAUCGGUUAGCCAAGAGUUGGCACCUAAUUGGCUUGGUUUGAGUCUAAUUGGAUUAGAUUUAAUAAAUUAUUCAAUC